CCCUUAGAUGUUCUGGGCCGCACGCGCGCUACACUGAUGCAUUCAACAAGCCUAGCCUUGACCGAGAGGUCCGGGUAAUCUUUGAAACUGCAUCGUGAUGGGGCUAGAUUAUUGCAAUUAUUAAUCUUCAACGAGGAAUGCCUAGUAAGCGUGAUUCAUCAAAUCGCGUUGAUUACGUCCCUGCCCUUUGCACACACCGCCCGUCGCUCCUACCGAUUGAAUGUGUUGGUGAGGAGCUCGGAUUGGCAGCAGUUGGUGGUUCGCCACCGGCUAUUGCUGAGAAGUCCUCCAAACCGCCCCAUUUAGAGGAAGGAGAAGUCGUAACA
This 326-nucleotide ribosomal RNA is filed under the name uncultured eukaryote. RNAcentral describes it as "partial 18S ribosomal RNA". It matches the Rfam family "Eukaryotic small subunit ribosomal RNA", at positions 1470 to 1796 of the family's 1831-position model. The record is from RNAcentral.